This 483-nucleotide ribosomal RNA is filed under the name uncultured bacterium. RNAcentral describes it as "partial 16S ribosomal RNA". It matches the Rfam family "Bacterial small subunit ribosomal RNA", at positions 30 to 507 of the family's 1533-position model. The record is from RNAcentral.
AUUGAACGCUGGCGGCAGGCCUAACACAUGCAAGUCGAGCGGAUGAAGGGAGCUUGCUCCUGGAUUCAGCGGCGGACGGGUGAGUAAUGCCUAGGAAUCUGCCUGGUAGUGGGGGAUAACGUCCGGAAACGGGCGCUAAUACCGCAUACGUCCUGAGGGAGAAAGUGGGGGAUCUUCGGACCUCACGCUAUCAGAUGAGCCUAGGUCGGAUUAGCUAGUUGGUGGGGUAAAGGCCUACCAAGGCGACGAUCCGUAACUGGUCUGAGGGGAUGAUCAGUCAAACUGGAACUGAGAAAGGGUCCAGACUCCUAGGGGAGGCAGCAGUGGGGAAUAUUGGACAAUGGGCGAAAGCCGGAUCCAGCAAGGCCGCGGGUGGGAAGAAGGUCUUCGGAUUGUAAAGAACUUUAAGUGGGGAGGAAGGGAAGUAAGUUAAUACCUUGCUGUUUUGACGUACCAACAGAAUAAGCACCGGCUAACUUCGUG